Long non-coding RNA from Mus musculus (house mouse), 12866 nucleotides. RefSeq annotates it as predicted gene, 38524. The record is from RefSeq and is a predicted model, not a curated record. Lineage: Eukaryota; Metazoa; Chordata; Mammalia; Rodentia; Muridae. The transcript has 3 exons.
UAUUUGUUUACCACUUAGAACACAGGAUGUCAGCGCCAUCUUGUGACGGCGAAUGUGGGGGCGGCUCCCAACAAAACUUGCACAGCACGAAUGAUCCACUUUGUUAUUUGUUUUAUUUAUUUUUGUCUAGGGGUGUGUGUGUGUGUGUGUGUGGCCAUUAUUGGGUGUCUUCUUGAAAUAAUCCACUUUAAAGUGACCUGUUCUGAAUGGGCCAUUGAGAUGACCUAGUGGGUAGAGGUGCUUGCCCCCAGUCCUGAUGGCUUGACCUUAAUUCCUGAGACCCACACAGGAGACCCACACACUUAGGCUACAUGGUAUGUACCUGCCCACCCCCUCCCCACAAAACACAAAUGAAGAAAUCAAAAAUAUCUUUAAAAUGAACUACUCUGGCAUUCAGUGUUGUAGUGAACAACCACCACUUCUGACUAGCUUAAAAACCAUGUGUCACCCUGCACCCACUGAAUAAUUAUCCUAUUUCUUCCUAUUUCAGCUCUUGACGGCCACAAGUUUGCCUUCUGUCUGCAUAUUUACCCAUUCUAAAUAUUUUACAUAAAUGCGGUCUUUUAUAUUUGAUUUUGGUCACGGAGCAUAACAUUUUGUUUGUUUAUCUACCUGUGAGUGUGUGCCUGAACAACAGUUCACUGCAUAGAUAGAUGCACCAGUUGUCCAUGGAUGGACGUUCGAGCACCUUGGUCUUUUUGGCUGCCCUGAACAGUACUGCUGCUAGAAGCAACCACACAGUGACACAGCGGUUCUGUCUUGGAUGUAUCCUAUAGCUCUGAGAAGGAUGUUUAUAUUACAACAGCUUUAUUCAUAAAGCGUUGGAAGUGUCAUGUCUUGAAAGGGGUCCUGUUUACAUGAGGUAUAUACUCACUGAGUUGAAACCAACGAUAAUGUUUGAUUUCACUGUUGGCAAAUUUUAACUCAUUUUACAAGAAAGAAUAGAGCAAACUGUGAAUCCUAAUUUUCAGCAACUCCAGCUGCUGUGCCAAACUAGGGGAACAGGAAUAGAAGGAAAGUAGUUAGCUGUACUUAAGGCUUGAGAUGCAGUGGUAGCUCGGCUCCUGGGGUAAUCGUGGGCAUGGGUGGAUAAUGGGAUUCUUGGUGUACUUUGAAGGUUGAGCUGAUUGGCUAUGUUGACAGGUAUGAUGGCUGGCUGAUGGACAUGGAUACAUUGUCAGGAAAGACAGUUGUAAAGGGUGCUAAGAGUUUUGAUGGGGGCGGAGCUGCCAUUUAAUGAGCCGAGAGAGCCUGCGGGCAGAUGCGUGGGAAGGUGGGGAGUCUUGAGUUUGCACAGAAACCUGCCAGCGAUUAGGAAUCAACUUAGGACCAGAAAUAUAAAAUACAGAGUUGUCGGUGUGGCACUCAAGAUUGAACAAGCGCUAACAGAGUGAGUGGGCAAAGCAAAUCUAGGUGCCAAAUUCCAGGAAGCAGAUGGAUGAAAAGAAGCCAGUAAAAGAGAGGGAUGGAGGGCAGAGGCCUGGCGAGUGUGUGAGGAGUAAGUCAGAGUGGGGUGGCAUGCUCUUGUCACUGUCUCCCUGUCAGGAAGGUAGCUGGUGGAGGUAUUUUAAAGCCAUGUUUAGAGCACCAACUAGAGUACCUUGUUUAGAGACUGGUGCCUGAGAUUAAUUUACCCUGUGCCGUUAAAUGUAUUUUAGGGAACUGCUUGCUCUGGGUUCUGUGUUCAAUAAACAAGCGUUUCAUGAUCAUGUUGGUCCCUCUGUGGCUUGCUCUCAUGAAAAGGGUGCGUUAAGCAAUUGAAUCAGUUAUCUGGCUUCCUGGGAUUGUGUACCAAUCUCCAACAAGGUUGUUUGCUGGGAAGAGUGGUAGUUACUGGUUACAGGACUCGUCCCUUCAAUGUUACUCACUAAGCCCUGCAUUCUGGGUAGAGUCCAUAACAAGGGAGUUCAGAGAUAGCUCAAAUGGAGUCCGAGAGGAUGUCAGCUUCUUAGAAGUUCAAGUUACUGUAGUCCUCUUUGGGGACAGAGAGUGCUUUUCUCAGGAGACAUAGCCCUGAUGUGCAAGCCUGAUAGUAAACAUAUGUGAGACUUUCCUUAGUUUGGAUUUUUAUUUUGACAACCAGGAAAAUGGAAAAUGAACUAAAACAUGAAUGAAAGAGUUUUAUUCUUUUUUUCUGACCUCCUUCCCUCCCUUCUAUUUCCUUCCCUCUUGUUUUCUUUGUUUUGAGAGGAGAUCUAGAUAGCUCUGUAGCUCUAGCUGGCCUGGUGCUUGCUGCAUAGCACAGGCUGCCUUCCCCACCAGCUCUCUGGCUUCAGUCUUCUGAGUGCCAGGACACCUGAACAUCCCUUCUCUCCUUUCUUUUGCCUUAAGUGUCAAGGUAGCGCUUGUCAGAGGCCAGACCUAUCUGUUGGUUGUAAGAAAUACAGAAAGGCUGAAGUUCCUAGCAGGCUGCAGGCCAUUGGACACAAGCAGGGAAGCACCGUAGUGGUAUUGUCUUGUUCAUAGAAAUGUGUUCAGUGUGGUGAACCUGGCAUUAGCCAUCAUAACAGGAUCCUGGACAUUUUAUGAGGGUUGCUGACUGGAAGAAGGAUCAGAUGGUAAAGCACAGAGUAGGUGUGUGGAUGGGGAAGGGAGUUGAGGAUGGGGAAGGAGAAUAGAGUAGGGUCUCCAUGUGUCCAGCUUAUAGCACAGCCGAGGAUUGUGGCUUCUCUCUUUAGAUCAAGAGGUCAGAGCCAGUAUCAGGAGGCAGAAAUUACUGGACAAUGCAAACCUUCAACUCCAUAUACCUACAGUGAAUAUGGGUAACCUUUCAAUCUGCCUGAUGCCUCCUUUGUCUUGGUGGGAACUUGACUUUAUAAUCUGCCCUCCCUGUACCACUUUAUCUUUCAGGUGGGGCAGAACCUAGCUGGAGUCUGUGUAAGUGAAAAGGAGAUCCAGGUUCAUUUCAGACAGUCAGGCUGGAACUCUUUUCCCGGCCAGUGACUGGCUGAUACAACUGUGGUCAAGGCAUAACAGAGGCUGUGUAUUUUAUUUUUUUAUUAAAGAAAUUCAAGAGAUUAGUGAGAGAGAGAGAGAGAGAGAGAGAGAGAGAGAGAGAGAGAGAGAGAGAUGUGUGGGAACCCACAGGGUCCAGAAGAGGGUGUCAGAUCCUGGGGAUGGAGUUAUAGGUGGGGUGACUGCUGGGUAUGGGUGGGUAACUCUGGUCCUCUGAAAAGGUUGAAGUACUCUUAACCCUGGAGCCAUCUCUGCAGCCCCGGGACUUUGUAUUUUAAAGGAAAGGAUUUAUUUAACCCACAGUAGUGAGGUUUAGGGCUUGUGCUGGCAUGUGCUCAGUUGGUGAGCAUCAACUGUGGUGUUCCACCAUGAUGGAAAUGUAGAAAAGGAAGUGAGUGCAUUUGAGGAGCAGGACUGGUUCACAGCUACCCACUCUCAAUGCCUGCCUGAUGCCCUUUCUUCACAGUCAGUGAAGGGGCCCCUCCACAGACUCCAUAUGCGUCUCAGUGGAGACUAAGUAUUCAGAAGAUGUGCUGGAGAUCUUGGGACACAAGGAGUCUCCCUUUAAAAAAAGAUUGAAAACAACAGAGAAAUUGUUCUAGUGGACAUGGCCAGAUGUGCACACCAAGCCUGACCAGCUGGGAGGUCUCUGGAGCUAAUCCAUCCCUGUGUGCUGAUGCAGAGAGAAGCUGGGUCCCAGAUGAUCUUUAACACUUUCAAGGGGCUGGACUUGGGGACUUACUGAAUGACACAGCAGGUGAGUCAGCCUCUGAGUGAAUCCAUUAACAUAACAACAGGGUGGGUAGACCAGUUUCUAAGGGCUGCUCUGAAGUGGUUCUCCAGGGAAAGGGUGGCCACAAGAAGACAUGGGAGUCCAGCACUGGCUGAGUUUAGGAAGACUAGGUUUAUGUCCUUCGUAACUGGGAGACUCAGGGUUUGCCAUUCUCUUUGCACAGCAGACACCUUCUGAGGUUGAAUCUUGGAAGGAGGUGACGUCAACCUCAACUGCAGGACUCUGCUUCUGGUCAAGGGCCUGUGUCGAGCAUACACCCACGCCCCACAGGCCUUAAUUAGCUCAGUAUCUGUUCUCUGUGUAAUCUGUGCUUUUAAAGCUUGCAGAGAGGGGAAGGUACUUUACCAAACUUUUUUGUUGUGAGGGUGCAUUGGUUUAGGGAGAUGGGUUUCAUAGGAUUAGAUGUCAAAGAUUUAAUUGUAGUAACUUAAUAACAUUUAUCACUUAGUUGUUCCUCUCAGAAAAUAGGUCAUUUACUCAAGCUUUGCUAGUAAGGAGUGCUUCAGGGGAUGCAAUGAAAUGUUACAACUUUGGAAGUGAUAACAGCGUAGACAUUUCUUUGGAACUUGAAAUUUCUGUGCAAUUUGAAUUGAGACUACUUUCUUUAUUAUGUUGAAGUCACAAGAGCAAUUUCAGCAGCCACAAGAGGAACAUGAAAGUAGGUAGGUGUGUCUGCUGGGGAUUUGUGAGUCUUCCUUCUGAUGGUAAAUGUCCGUCCAGGCCCACCCUUCCACCCUGCCUAUUGUUACUGGUCAUUUUUCUAAUGACACUACAUCUUUUACCUGUGUGCUUGCUUGCUUGCUUGCUUAUUUAUUUAUUUAUUUAUUUAUUUAUUUAUUUAUUUAUUUAUUUAACUCUGCCUAGCUCCAAGCUGUUGGUUAAUGGGGGACAGUGUGUCUGGCAUUUCCUGUCUCUUGAUGUAGCAUUGCAGUUUUUAUGCACGGUGCCUUUGUGUUGUUCUCAGGAAGCUGUAUUGAUCUUUCCUGGGGAGCGACAGACUCCAGAGCGUGGUCAUUAUGACUCUGCAGUGAAGCUUAUCAGUUCUGUGUUUCCUGCCUAGGAAGCGGCCCGCCAUCUGCUCUGCAGUAAUUAUUCUCAUAUGCAACCAUAGAAUUGUGUUUUGGAGACCUUAAUGUGUUACGUUCCCCAGCUCCCUUAUUUAAACACUUUAACCACCACCAUCCCUAGAAAUGUUGGCCUUGAUAUGCCGUGAAAAUUGUGCCCUGCUGCCAUGCCUCUGCCAAGGCUUCUCACAUGGGUGGCUUGCUGGUCUGCCUUCCCUCCACUGUGUGCUGACUCAGCUCCACUCUGGUGUUGCCGUCUCGAGGAUAAUCGCUCAGAGCACGCUGUAUUUCAUUACGUGCCAGACCCCAGGACCAGGGCAGCCAACCUGCUGUAGCUCUAGCCUUUGCCCUGCCGUCCUUCUCCUGUGGCUCCCAGUGCUGCCUUCUCCCUCUGCUUCUCAUUCUUGUCUCACCUCAGCCAACCCUAAAGGGUUCUUGUGUGGGUGGAACUUGGUUUCUGUCAUUGCUUAACCAGUUGAACGAUCAGUUGCAGGACUUUCUUGAGCCAUGACAGAUGUAUUCUCAUUCUGUUGAGGAGCCAACGUAUGGCUGUAAAUAUUAGUGGGGUUCAGUUUGUUGUCUCCACAUGUAUCUAACACAUCCUGCUCAAGAUAGGAUGAUAUAAAUUGUUUUGCUAUUCUGUGAAGCAUGGGCCUACAUUUUUCAUCAUAUUGAUUGAUUAAUUGAUUAAUUGAUUGUGUGAGUGGCACAUGUGCCAUGGUAUAUGCUUGAUGGUCAGAUGACAACUUGCAGAAGUCUGUGCUUUCCUCCUUCUGUCUCGUGAGCUCCAGAAUUGAACUCAGGUCAUCAGGCUUGGUGGCGAGCACCUUCAUCCAUUGAGCCAUCUUGCUAGCCCAACUUUUUAAAAAAAUUAUCAAAUGUUGUUUCCUUAUGCUAUUUGAUAACGUGUAAUCACUCCCAUUAUCCUUUCUUGCACCCAUUCUAUGCUGAUCACAAACACUCCCCCCUUCGACCUUUUAUCCUGUUUUGAAUUUAGAUUCCACAUCUAAGAGAAUGCUCACCUGUUUUUCUGAAUGUGACUUAUGUAACAAAAUUUCACUUUUCUUUAUGACUGAAUAAAAUUCCGUUGUGUAUGUAUUUGUUCAUUUAUCUGUUGGCUGAUGCCUGGGGUAAUUUUAUAACUUGGGAAUAAUGCUGUAAUAGUGUGUGUGUGUGUGUGUGUGUGUGUGUGUGUGUGUGUGUGUAGAGCAUCAUAGAGUAUGUGGGCUUAAAGUUUAAAAUCCUGAAUCAAUACAGCACUCGAGUAAGUUGCCUAUUUUAUAGCUAUAAAGAACAUACCUGCAUGUUUAUUUUUUCUGCUUGAUGUUCCUAGUAUGCCAAACAUUAUUAGUGUUGUAUGUGGUUUCAGACAGUUGGGCGUCUGUGAUUCCACGGUGGUUGUGGGAGCUGCUGGCUGAUGCAGACUGUGUCCAUCUAGGAUGGUGGUAUUAAAAGUUUUCCCAAAAAUUUCAUUUAGAUUUUGAAUUCUGGCUGCUAUUGUUUGGUUGUUUUUGUUAUUUAGAAGUAGUUUGUAUCUAGUGUGUUUAAACUCGAGGUAUGUAAUAGUGACAUAGCUGCAUUUGUGACAGCUACUGGUGAAGAUACAGCUAGCUGGUCAGGGCUAGUCUUCUGGGGAGCAUCAAGUGUCAUCUCACUUUAUAUACAUUUUCAUGUGUGUCUUUUAAAAGUCCUGCCUAUUAGUAUACUUAGUGUGUACUUAGUUAGCUGUGUGUUUAAUAGUACGUUAGCUGUCAGUUUAAGCCUCUGAUUGGGAGAAAACAUUACACAGAUAGAUGAGAGAUAGAAAUACAUGUCCCAGGGACUCACCAACAGAGCAGGGUGCUCCAUGAGUCGGCACAUUUUUAGGAUUGACUAGAAUGACACGCACACAAGCUGUAUGUAGACAUGGAGUUUUUGUCAGGUGCUCACUCCUUUACAAAUGCCUGCUUAAUCCCAUGCACUGUUGGUGGGAACAGAAAGUGAUAUGGCCGUUGUGGGAAACAGUAUGGCUGUUUGUCAAACAAAGGAAUGGAAUUACUAUACAAUCCAGAAAUUUCACUUCUGGCUAUCCAUACUAAAAAACGGGAAGCAAAUACUUAGACAGAUAUUCAGGCAACUGUGUUCACAGCAGCUGUAGCUGAAGGUGCAGGCAGCUGCAGAGCCCCUGCAUGAGUGAGUGGAAUAUGAUCCAGCUUCGGGAAAGAAGUUCUGCUGUGCGUACUGCACCUUGUGCUGCUGUACUGAUGAACCUUGAGGACAUUAUACAGUGAGCAGGCCACAGGACUCCUAAGCAUUGUGUGCUUCCACUUUGGAGGCACCCGGCGUCGGCAGCCAUCAAGUCAAAAAGGAGGGAAGAUGAAUGGCUCAGUGGCGGGACUUGGGCUUUGCAAGGUGAAAAACUUGGUGGAGAUGGUCUCAUAACCAUGUGAGUGUACUCAGUCCCACGGAGCUGGGUGCCUAUGCAAUGAUUAAGAUGGGAAACCAAGCUGUAUCAGUUGCAGAGUGUGCUUUAGGAAGGUAAAAUGACCAUGGUAUUGGGAGGUGAAGAGGCUCUGUGAAGCAGAUGACACAAAGAUGGCAGAAUGUUGGUACCUAUGAAGAGUGGGUGAGGGUUAUCAGUCAGGGUCAACUGUGCUGCUCUGUUUAUUUUAAAGUUCUUGUUGUCAUUCAGUUAAGAAGACUACUUGCCUUUUCCACGACCAAUGAGUGAGUGCCUCAAGAAAUGGAGAAGUGAGCUGGCAUGAGAUGGAGCUGGUCUGCUCCUUAGAGCAGGAGGCUGAGGGGAGAGCAACUGGAGAGCGAGGGAGGGCAGGUUUUCUGCAGACAGUUAAUUUUGUGGUGCCCAAGUGGAACCAACCCCUUCAGUUUGUUUUCUGAUUUACACACGUGCACCAUGACAUAGGUGUGUGCCUAUACACUAAAAUAAGCCUCUCCCUCUCCCUCUGUGUGUGUGUGUGUGUGUGUGUGUGUGUGUGUGUGUGUAAGUUGGCAAAGAGGGGGCUGAAAAGAUGGCUCAGUGGUUAACAGCAAGUACUGUUCUUACAGAGUUUAGUUCCCAUCACCACACUGGGCAGCUCAUAACCCUCUGUAGUUCCAACCCUGUGGGGAUCAGUUAGUUACCUCUGGCCUGGCGGCAUUUGCAUUCCGGUGCGUAUAACACCCAUGUACAUAACUAAAAAUGAACCCUUAAAAGGCUAGCAAAAGGGCUGGUGAGAUGGCUCAGUGGGUAAGAGCACCCGACUGCUCUUCCUAAGGUCUGGAGUUCAAAUCCCAGCAACCACAUGGUGGCUCACAACCAUCUGUAACAAGAUCUGACUCCCUCUUCUGGAGUGUCUGAAGACAGCUACAGUGUACUUACAUAUAAUAAAUAAAAAAAAAAAAAAAAAAAAAAAAAAAAAAGGCUAGCAAAAAAUAGCUUGCUUCAUUAGUAGAAUAAUACUGUUUUCUAAAAUAACUUUUGUAUUUCCUUCUAAAUUUGUAUUCAUAAUUCUAGUGAAAUAUGAGUCUAUUUUGUCCUACCUAACAGAAUAAGGUGAGAUUACUUGGUGCUUCUUUUCAUUUACUAGAUUGUAUUAAUAAUAAUUUCUUUUCUAUAAUGUAAAAAUGGCAUUGGCAAGAAACUUUUAGCAUCUACUAAAAUGUCAAAAUGGAAAGAAGAGAGUAUUUCGUGAAGUUUGACAAUGAACCACAUACAACCCAAGGGAAGAGGCUGCCAGCGAGUGACAGGUGUGAGAGUUGGUAGCACAGUGACACUGGCAGCAGUUUAACACAGGGGCAGCACUCACAUCCAGGGGCAUAGGAGCCGUAGCCAGGGCAAACCCAGCAGGGGCCUGUGCCUCAAGCUCAGGUCAGGAACAGGAGUGGUGACAUCAGAGCAGAGUCUCUGUCUGGGCACACUCAGCUGGCCCUAGGACAGUGGUCCUGAGGGUCGCAACUCCUUGGGCAAGCCUGUCUUUAAAAAUAUUUACGUUUCAAUUCAUAACAGUACCAAAAUUACAGAUAUGAAGAAGCAAUGAAGAUAGUUCUGUGGUUGGGGGGUGGCACCACACCAUGAGGAGCUGUAUUAAAGGAUCUAGCAUUAGGAAGGUUGAGAACCACUGCUUUAGGGGAUAGAGGGAAGCCAAGAGCUAGAGAUGAAGGUACUGAAUUCAGUUCUGGCAUUGUUGAUGGCAACCCAAGUUGCUCACACCUAUUAACUGAGUUAGGGCAGGUUUUCUUCAAAAUUGUCUUUACAUUGCCCAGCCUGAUGUGUGGGCGAUGUAGGAAAAGAUACCACAUUUUGGUCUCAGUUCCUACCUGGGAUGCUAAUAUUCAUCCUCUGCUGAGCCACCUCCUGUCCAGCCUUUAUGUCUUAACUCAGACAGUCUUCUUCCCAGUCCUCAGUCAGGACUGUGUGUGAUCCAGAACCUGCGGAAAGACGGGGCCCAGAGAGGUCCAGAGAGGCGGGGCAGAAGGCCAGUGGGGUCCUGACGAAGUCCUUCAGGCAUACCCUUCAGCCCUAGUGCUUUUCCUUCAUGAAAAGUAACAUUUCACACCAUUGAGUGUGCCUGAUGGUUUGUGCAAUGAAAGCAGACAUCCCUAGCAGUCUCAUGUUAGUUACAUGCCGUGGUGUAGUCAGUUUCCGGUAAACACUUAAUGAGUGAUUCGAUGCUAUCGGAAUGUGUCAGUCAAGAAAUUGGUGAAUGGAGGGGAUUGGGGGUUGUUCUAGUGUUGGCAGCAUGAUGUGCUUAUGGGUUGGAAGGAAAAUGGAAAGGGGAGGAAGGGGUGGAAUAAUGUGUUCAGGGGACUUGAGCAGAGAGCCUGAGAAGGGAGGCCUUUGUGUUGCCUUGAGGGAGAGGGCUAUCAGUAGCAGCCUGCCAUGGACAUAUGCUGUUUGUGUGGGUGAGAGCCUCAGGACAGGUGCCUGUGGCUUUCUCUAAACCUCGUGUGUAUUUGUGGUCAGAGCAGUAUGGCAUAGUUCUAUUUAAGAUCAUCACUUGGAGUUGGAUUCUGAUGACAUCAGUGUGCCUGUGCUUCCUGCCAUCCGGUUCAGGUCUGAUCGGUAUUGAUUUGGGGGCAGCUCUGAGGACUGUGAAGUCAACAAGGGGGCUUUCUGCAGCAUGUUUAGCUGGACUCCUACUUGAGAGGCAGGUUUUCUUCCCUGAUAUAUUACUGGGAGGUUUGUCUCCAGUCCUGUAUUUCAUUUGUAAGGAAGGAUAGAUGUCUCAGAAUAAGACAUGAUGGAACAUACUUGCAGAGGUGCAAUCCUUGAGAGGUCCAGCAACAGCAUGGGGUUUCUAGAUUGUUUGCAUCUUUGGGUGGAAGAUUUGCCUAGUGAUUCUCACUAAUUUUAUAGCACACACUGUGUUAUUGAACAGCCUAAGACCUUGGAAGGAAAAAGCUAAGCCUUGUUACAUGCCCUGUAUGUACUGGAGUCAGUAGAAUAAGUAUAUGCUGGAGUUGUGCAGACUGAAGGACAUUAGAAGAAGCAUGAAGUGGCCAAGUUCAAGAAGCAUGGUGGCCAGGCCACACCAGCAGUUCUCAUCCCCCUAGUCUUUGCCACGCCAGCUUCUCUCUAGCGGUGCAUGAAUUCUCAUGUUCACAGUGUCUCACAUUAGACAUGACUGAGAGCCAGCAGUUUCUGUUCAUUUUUAAUAUAAUCUGCGGAAUUUUGAAAUGCUUAGUAAAGUACCCAGGUAAAAAUUUUGCUAGAAAAGUAAUAAUUGUUCAGGAUACAAAAAUUAUACUCUAGAACCACAAAGCAGUCGGUGAAAAGCCGUUUUCCUGGGAUAACAGCGUCUCAGCCAGCCAUCCACAGAGUGCAAUUCUUUCCUGUCUACUCUUUUCUUACUCUUACUUUUUGCCCUGCUUUAAAUAAGCAAUUCACUGUGUUUCUAUUCAGCAGCAGCAGCAGCACCUGUGCACCUUCUAAUGUACCCAGGGCGUGUUUCCAUAGCAGCAGGAGAGGUGGCAGCUUCAUAUCUGCUUCAUUGUGGUUUUACAUGUUUUAACAGUAAUGCUACCAUAUACCCGUUCUGUAUCGCUUGGAUGAGUCAAUGCUUGCCUUCCCUGGAGAAGCACGCCAGUUCCCAUGUUCCCAUGUUUCACUGUGGUUGAAACCAAGAGUUCAGAAAACUGCUUCUUAUUGCUCAAUAUUGUACUUUGCUUUCUCACCCUCGUAUGUAUGUAUGUACAAAUACAUGUGUAUAGAAGUAAAAAUGUUAACUUUUUUGUUUUAAUUUUAUUAGUGUCAUUAAACAUAAAAAUAAAUAUAUCAUAAUUUCAGAAAAAUGAAUGAAGUAUUAUUUUGACUUUGUAGUCCAGACUUGGAAUUCGAUGAUUGUUACUUUUCCAGCUUUUAAAAGGACAGAAAGGGAGUCUUCCAGGGAGACUGCAGCUGUGUGACUGUGUGCAAGCAUGUGUGCGCUCAUUUUUUCUGAAAUCAAGUUGCUUCUGAUACUUUAUAUUUUAGUGUCAUAUUAGAGGCUUCAUUUCAUGAUCAUUUGUUCAUUCACGUGUGUUUUUAUUUUUAGCUCUAAGCAAAAGACAUGAGGCCUCAGCUGAAUUGAGGUGGCUUUGAGGUCAUCCGAUUUCUAGACGUGUGCGGUCACCUGGUCCUGAGAGCCCUCCACACAGAAUGGUUUGCAAUUUUUUUUGGUGAUGGCAUGUUCAGAAUCUUGGAUCCCUAAAUUGAAUGUUGGAAAUAUGUAGGAGCCUUGGAAAUUAUGUUGUUUUUAUAUAUUAAUGUCUUGGUAGGUGAAUUAGUAGACUAAUAAAUGUAUGUAAAGGAACUCCACACUUGUAAGGUGACAGGUGUGUCUCAGGACUGUCCCCUGUCUGGGUGCUGUGCUCUGGAGACAGCUCUGCCGUGCAGCUUCUCUGUGGCCCUCUCACUAUCCUGGGCAGGCUGUGGGAUUCCUGCCAUGCUGCUUUGGUUAGCUGGUUUGCUUUCCUGCAUCUAUUGCAGUGUGAGCUCCUUAGAUCAUAGGGAUCAUUGAUCAGGAGUUUUGAAGAGAAGAAAAAGCAUCAAGUGACAAUCUUAAAUGCAGUGACUACAGAAUUCCUACCUGGAAAUCAUCUCACAAGCCGUUCUGGUAUGUGAUCCUUCUUGAGUUUGUCAGUUGGGAGGAGACACCCUUUGCCUUCUGUUCUGACUCGGUAGCUGCCUCUGGCUUGCACUACUCAAAAUCUCAUUUGUUAGAGGUCCAUUUGGACAGCUCUUGUGGUUUCACAUCCACAAGAAAAGAGGGUCCUGCAUGCCUCAAGUACAUGGCUUCCUGUGGACCAUAAACACAUCAAGUACAAGGGGUUCCAGGACCUGCUGGACUUCUGCUACACUGCCGUGCUCAUCCUUCCUGGGUAACUCCAUCAUGGUUCCUUCCAGCUCCUCAGAGUGGUCCUGCUUGGCUCCUGAGUCCACACAGAAGUAUCAAUACGUAGUUCACCCCUCUUCUUUACCCUCGUUAGGUUGCGUUCUGCUGAUAACAGGAGCUUCGUGUCGCCUUGAUGAGGGACUCAUGCCUGAUGUAUUUCCAUCCUCCUUCCUGAAGAGAAGCAGCGCUUUAGACAUAGGGGCCUUGGCUGUCUGAGGAUUGUCUCUAGAAAGUUCACAGCACUGUGUUCUAAAUGUGGCCUCUCAGUGUGCUGGUCACUGCCAUUGUGGUUGCCAAGGAAAUCUUUCUCAACUGCCAUGCACUGAGCCUCAGAAGCCCAGUGUGCCUCAGGCAUGGGAAGAUCCAGAGUUGACUUAUGAGUAUGGAAGCUUGCUAGGACCUGAAGAGAGCCAGAGACACUCCUGUAGAGAAAGUGUCUGUGUCAGCAAGAUUUGUCCAGAACCGUUGACCAACUUUUUAAACCCACAUGAGCCCGCAUUGAACCUAUGCAGACUAUCCAGUGCAUGUGUAUAAGUCAUCAUUUAAUCUUUUGAAAAGUGGGUUACACUAACCUAAGUUUUUUACAUAUAAAUUUCAGAAGCAAUACAGAUGUGUUUUGUGGAAAGGCUAUAUAUACUGCUUGUAAUAAAUUUCUGACUCUUGCUUAAUAAAAAUUAAAUGGCCCAAUUAUGGAAAACCCAA